CCUAUGACCGGAGGUAUUGGUGUGAUGCA
Molecule: non-coding RNA, 29 nt
Filed under: Homo sapiens (human)
Lineage: Eukaryota; Metazoa; Chordata; Mammalia; Primates; Hominidae
Source: RNAcentral